AACGAACGCUGGCGGCGCGCCUAAUACAUGCAAGUCGAGCGAGAAGACGUAGCAAUACGUUUGUAAAGCGGCGAACGGGUGAGGAAUACAUGGGUAACCUACCCUCGAGUGGGGAAUAACUAGCCGAAAGGUUAGCUAAUACCGCGUACGCUCCUUGGACUUCGGUUCAGGGAGGAAAGCGAUACCGUGGGUAUCGCGCUCUUGGAUGGGCUCAUGUCCUAUCAGCUUGUUGGUGAGGUAACGGCUCACCAAGGCUUCGACGGGUAGCUGGUCUGAGAGGACGAUCAGCCACACUGGCACUGCGACACGGGCCAGACUCCUACGGGAGGCAG
RNAcentral lists this ribosomal RNA (332 nucleotides) under uncultured Nitrospirota bacterium. RNAcentral's name for it is "bacterial SSU rRNA". It matches the Rfam family "Bacterial small subunit ribosomal RNA", at positions 29 to 351 of the family's 1533-position model. The record is from RNAcentral. Lineage: Bacteria; Pseudomonadati; Nitrospirota.